UACGAAGGGUGCUAGCGUUGCUCGGAAUCACUGGGCGUAAAGCGCACGUAGGCGGACUCUUAAGUCGGUGGUGAAAUCCUGGAGCUCAACUCCAGAACUGCCUUCGAUACUGAGAGUCUUGAGUCCGGGAGAGGUGAGUGGAACUGCGAGUGUAGAGGUGAAAUUCGUAGAUAUUCGCAAGAACACCAGUGGCGAAGGCGGCUCACUGGCCCGAUACUGACGCUGAUGCACGAAAGCGUGGGGAGCAAACAGG
This 253-nucleotide ribosomal RNA is filed under the name uncultured bacterium. Its description in RNAcentral is "partial 16S ribosomal RNA". It matches the Rfam family "Bacterial small subunit ribosomal RNA", at positions 524 to 776 of the family's 1533-position model. The record is from RNAcentral.